UUCCGGUUGAUCCUGCCGGAGGCCAUUGCUAUCGGAGUCCGAUUUAGCCAUGCUAGUCGUGCGGGUUCAGACCCGCGGCGAAAAGCUCAGUAACACGUGGCCAAACUACCCUACAGAGGAGCAUACUCUCGGGAAACUGAGGAUAAUACUCCAUACCGCUCCCGCGCUGGAAUGCUGGGAGCUCGAAACGCUCCGGCGCUGUAGGAUGUGGCUGCGGCCGAUUAGGUAGACGGUGGGGUAACGGCCCACCGUGCCGAUAAUCGGUACGGGUUGUGAGAGCAAGAGCCCGGAGACGGAACCUGAGACAAGAUUCCGGGCCCUACGGGGCGCAGCAGGCGCGAAACCUUUACACUGCACGCACGUGCGAUAAGGGGACUCCGAGUGCGAGGGCAUAUCGUCCUCGCUUUUCUGUACCGUAAGGCGGUACAGGAAUAAGAGCUGGGCAAGACCGGUGCCAGCCGCCGCGGUAAUACCGGCAGCUCAAGUGAUGGCCAAUUUUAUUGGGCCUAAAGCGUCCGUAGCUGGCCAGGAAAGUCCGUCGGGAAAUCCACGUGCUCAACACGUGGGCGUCCGGCGGAAACUGCCUGGCUUGGGACCGGAAGACUCGAGGGGUACGUCCGGGGUAGGAGUGAAAUCCCGUAAUCCUGGACGGACCACCGAUGGCGAAAGCACCUCGAGAAGACGGAUCCGACAGUGAGGGACGAAAGCUAGGGUCUCGAACCGGAUUAGAUACCCGGGUAGUCCUAGCUGUAAACGAUGUUCACUAGGUGUGGCACAGGCUACGAGCCUGUGCUGUGCCGUAGGGAAGCCGAGAAGUGAACCGCCUGGGAAGUACGUCCGCAAGGAUGAAACUUAAAGGAAUUGGCGGGGGAGCACUACAACCGGAGGAGCCUGCGGUUUAAUUGGAGUCAACGCCGGA
Molecule: ribosomal RNA, 919 nt
Filed under: uncultured archaeon
Lineage: Archaea
Description: bacterial SSU rRNA
Rfam family: Archaeal small subunit ribosomal RNA
Source: RNAcentral